Molecule: ribosomal RNA, 270 nt
Filed under: uncultured prokaryote
Description: partial 16S ribosomal RNA
Rfam family: Bacterial small subunit ribosomal RNA
Source: RNAcentral
UACGGAGGGAGCAAGCGUUGUUCGGAAUUACUGGGCGUAAAGGGCGCGUAGGCGGUCGCGUAAGUCGGAUGUGAAAUUCCGGGGCUCAACCCCGUGAACUGCACCCGAUACUGCGUGACUAGAGAGAGGUAGGGGCAAGUGGAAUUCCCGGUGUAGCGGUGGAAUGCGUAGAUAUCGGGAAGAACACCCGUGGCGAAGGCGGCUUGCUGGACCUUUUCUGACGCUGAAGCGCGAAAGCGUGGGGAGCAAACAGGAUUAGAUACCCCCGUA